CCUGAUGCAGCCAUGCCGCGUGUAUGAAGAAGGCCUUCGGGUUGUAAAGUACUUUCAGUUGUGAGGAAGGGUGUGUAGUUAAUAGCUGCGCAUCUUGACGUUAGCAACAGAAGAAGCACCGGCUAACUCCGUGCCAGCAGCCGCGGUAAUACGGAGGGUGCGAGCGUUAAUCGGAAUUACUGGGCGUAAAGCGCAUGCAGGUGGUUCAUUAAGUCAGAUGUGAAAGCCCGGGGCUCAACCUCGGAACUGCAUUUGAAACUGGUGAACUAGAGUACUGUAGAGGGGGGUAGAAUUUCAGGUGUAGCGGUGAAAUGCGUAGAGAUCUGAAGGAAUACCAGUGGCGAAGGCGGCCCCCUGGACAGAUACUGACACUCAGAUGCGAAAGCGUGGGGAGCAAACAGGAUUAGAUACCCUGGUAGUCCACGCCGUAAACGAUGUCUACUUGGAGGUUGUGGCCUUGAGCCGUGGCUUUCGGAGCUAACGCGUUAAGUAGACCGCCUGGGGA
Molecule: ribosomal RNA, 505 nt
Filed under: bacterium KWD-1-3
Lineage: Bacteria
Description: bacterial SSU rRNA
Rfam family: Bacterial small subunit ribosomal RNA
Source: RNAcentral